RNAcentral lists this long non-coding RNA (474 nucleotides) under Macaca mulatta (Rhesus monkey). Its description in RNAcentral is "lncRNA (ENSMMUG00000061213.1)". The record is from RNAcentral. Lineage: Eukaryota; Metazoa; Chordata; Mammalia; Primates; Cercopithecidae.
GGGAACCAGACCAUUUCUAGAGGAGAUUGCAGACUUCUAUCAGAAAACUGUACAGCUAGAGGUGCAGUGAACUCUUCACCAGAUGCCAGUAGGCAAGAAGUCGAUGGAAACACGUUCAGCACGUGUGAGGCAUUGGAUGAAGACAUCCAACUAUGACUAAAGUCAUCUUUUUGAAAACCUGACACAUUCAUGCAGAUGGAUACGAAACUCUACCAGUAAGAAUCUCAUGCUACAACCAGACACCUGGGACAGAACUGCUUAGAACCCAGUGCGAAGAGUUCCCUUAAUUCUCUGAGGUAUUUCCUCUCUUGAAGCAGCGGAGUUGGUGAGACAAUCGUAAUCCAGGUGUUAUUACCCUGGAGUCCUUUGUUUAAACGUUCUGCAGAUGUCAUAGGUUUGUAAAUAAAACAGCUUGUGAAUGUGUAUAUAUCUUCACUAUUUGAAGUUGAAAGGUUCAUAACUUGAGUAAGAUCU